AUCCAGUUUGCGAGUCCCAAAUAGGACGAAACCAGCGUCCUGGAU
Molecule: non-coding RNA, 45 nt
Organism: Schistosoma haematobium
Lineage: Eukaryota; Metazoa; Platyhelminthes; Trematoda; Strigeidida; Schistosomatidae
Source: Rfam